AAUUGGAGUCUUUGUAAAGAGGUUCCUUUAAAUGAGCCGAUAUAUUUGGCCUCGGUUUUCUACAAGUUAAUUGGCGUAGUUAUAUAUUCAUGCCAUCUCCUCAAAAAUUUCACCCUUGCCAGGAUCCCAAGGCAUUGAACAAAUUGAAGCAGCAUUAUACAAUAUUUAUUGCUUUCAGACUUUAACAGGAACCAAAUUUCUUUUCGCGAGCGAUAUAAAACCUUUAAACGCAGGCCAGAUACUCAGAGGGAUUUAUGUCUUGUUUUGCGACUAUGCUUUAAAAAAUCCCUUUUAUAGCUUGGAUUGCCCCAUAAGAUGCGAGCUUUUUGAUAAAUAUAUGGACGACUUUGUCGACAAACUAAAUACCGGGGGGACCGUAAUAUUGUAACGUUGUGGAAGGCUCUUACUUCAUAGAAGUCUACUAAUCCAGAAAUAAAUGCAACUUUUUUAUGUGG
Long non-coding RNA from Zophobas morio, 455 nucleotides. RefSeq lists it as uncharacterized. The record is from RefSeq and is a predicted model, not a curated record. Lineage: Eukaryota; Metazoa; Arthropoda; Insecta; Coleoptera; Tenebrionidae. The transcript is spliced from 5 exons.